AUUGAACGCUGGCGGCAUGCCUUACACAUGCAAGUCGAACGGCAGCACGGGUGCUUGCACCUGGUGGCGAGUGGCGAACGGGUGAGUAAUACAUCGGAACAUGUCCUGUAGUGGGGGAUAGCCCGGCGAAAGCCGGAUUAAUACCGCAUACGAUCCACGGAUGAAAGCGGGGGCCCUUCGGGCCUCGCGCUUUGGGGUUGGCCGAUGGCUGAUUAGCUAGUUGGUGGGGUAAAGGCCUACCAAGGCGACGAUCAGUAGCUGGUCUGAGAGGACGACCAGCCACACUGGGACUGAGACACGGCCCAGACUCCUACGGGAGGCAGCAGUGGGGAAUUUUGGACAAUGGGCGAAAGCCUGAUCCAGCAAUGCCGCGUGUGUGAAGAAGGCCUUCGGGUUGUAAAGCACUUUUGUCCGGAAAGAAAUCCUUGACUCUAAUACAGUCGGGGGAUGACGGUACCGGAAGAAUAAGCACCGGCUAACUACGUG
Molecule: ribosomal RNA, 486 nt
Filed under: uncultured bacterium
Lineage: Bacteria
Description: partial 16S ribosomal RNA
Rfam family: Bacterial small subunit ribosomal RNA
Source: RNAcentral